GCCCGGGUAGCUCAGCUGGAUAGAGCAGCGCUUUCCUAAAGCGCAGGUCGUUGGUUCGAAUCCAAUCCCGGGUG
RNAcentral lists this transfer RNA (74 nucleotides) under Phycisphaerales bacterium. RNAcentral's name for it is "tRNA-Arg". It matches the Rfam family "tRNA". From Rfam's summary of the family: Transfer RNA (tRNA) molecules are approximately 80 nucleotides in length. Lineage: Bacteria; Pseudomonadati; Planctomycetota; Phycisphaerae; Phycisphaerales. The record is from RNAcentral.